CUCGCGGGAGGCUCGCGCGGCGGCGGCGGGGUCGCGGCGCGGCCGGGCGGCGGCGGGGGUCGGGCCGGUCCGGACUCUGCACCCCCCCGCCCCGCGCCCCCCGCGCCCGAAGGUCCCCCCGGGACGGGGAACCCCGGAGCUGCGACCUGCCCACGCCGGCGCGGGGACUGCGCGUCAUUUCAGAUUUUAAUAGUCCUAAAUCAGGUGCUGAUUUAGGUGCUCAAAGAGAUCCCGGCUCAUUUACGAAUGAUUCGUGUUGUGGAAGAAUACUGGGCCAGGAGAACUACUUCCUUCCAGGCUGGACGCUUUGGAACCCAAGACCACAGCCGGGAAUCCGUCUCUGCUGCUGCUUAACCUUAGGCUGGGCAACGAGGCUGCACUUCGGUUUCAUUUGCUUCAUUUAUGAAAUGGAGACAAACAUUCUUCGUCCUACAGAUGAAAAGAGAUAAUGGACGGAGAGAGCUUCGUCAGCGGAGAAAGGCUUUCUAAGUGGAUGCGCAGGGCUUACUCCCGGCUCUGCACGCAGGAAUUACUCCUGGUGCCCACUCCAGAUGCAAUCCCGGCGACCAAGAGCUUCCACAAGCAAGGCCCAGGUAUGAGGGUUCCAGGACUGUUCCUCCCCGGCCCCCGCCCUCUCGGCAGCCUGGCUGUCAGGCACACAGUCUGCCUCCGGGCACUAUCUUGGCGCCAACAGCCCUGGUCCAGAGACCCCCAGUUGAAUCCCAAAAUGGAUUGGCGCCCUCCAGGGAUGCCUCUGGAACCCAACCAUUUACAAUCUUAGAAUUCCAGAAGCGCACAGCUGCUUUCACGGCCUCUCAUGAUUUUCAACAUGAGCAAUGGAAAAUAAAUGAUCUAGCGUCUGCCCCUGGCAGGCAGACGUGAAUGGUGGUGGGGAAAUUUGAGUAAAAUAAAAUGCCCAAAAGUAGAGAGAGAGGGGCUGGAGUGAUAGCUCAGCGGGGAGGGCGUUUGCCUUGCACGCAGCCGACUCGGGUUCGAUUCCCAGCAUCCCUGAGCAUUGCCAGGGGUAAUUCCUGAGUGCAAAGCCAGGAGUAACCCCUCAGCAUCACUAGGUGUGACCCCCCCAAAAAAAAAAAGUAGAGAGUACUGGGGAAAUCGUCUGCCAUAGAGGCAGGGUGAGGACUGGGAAGGAUGGGCAGGUUUCAUGGUGGUGGGAUUGGUGUUGAAAUAUUGAAUGUGGUCAAUUAUUGUGAACAACUUUAUGAAAAUAAAAUCUAAAAAUUAACAAAUAUGAAAUACUGUUGUGGCAGGUAGUCUGUGGAAACUCUAAAGAUUCCCUGAGUCCUGGUAGAAUUUACUCUUUAUAGAUCUGUGAAACCUCCAGAACAUUCACACGCAAAAUCCAUUCCUUUGUGCUAGUGAGGAAGGAAACAGGCUGCCUGGGAGGGGUGAGGGGGGCUCGUGAGGGCCAGUCCCAAGGUGCGAGGCCUCACCCGGGGCCCCUUUCCCACCUUUCCCGGACUCGUCCCUUUGGGCUGCUCAGGUGUGACUGUGGCUAUCCCGAGCGAGGGCUCCCCUGACCACAGAUGGUGCCUUCGUGCCGGUGUCCUGGAGGCAGACACACUGGGCCUCUUUCUCCUGGUGUCCAGACUGGAACUCGGGGCCCCAGACGGGCAAAGCAGAUGUCCAGUCUUGGAGCCCCCACCCUGGCUGCCCCAGAGUCAGCCAUCCCCUCUGGGUCUCAUCUCGCCUAAAUCUCCGACCCGUAACACCCUCAAAGUGAGUCUCAGGGUUUCAACAAACGGGGAGGGCGGGGAAGGGGAGGGACGUGCCACAUCCAGCAGUGCUCAGGGCUUCCCCCGGCCUCUGUGCUCCGGGGUCACUCCUGGCAGUGCUGGGGCAAGGGCCUGAGAUGCCGGGGGUGGAACCAAGGCAAGCAGCUGCCCUGCUGUGCCGUCCCGGGCCGGGCUCUGAGCCAGGAGAGGACACAGGCAGGAGGCCCGUCCUGCUGCUUCUCACAGCAUUUCCCGUGCCAGGUCCCCGCCCCUUCAUUCCUCGGCUCGCAUGCUGGAAGGAGGUCACCUUCCUGCAGGCCGGGGCCAGUGAGGGUCGUCGAGCCCCCGGGACAGUCUCGGAGGAAGGCCAGCGUGUGCCCGGAGACAGAGUGGCAGGGAGAGUCCGGCACCGAAAGCCAACCGGGAUCUUCCCCAGCUCUGCCUCAAUCCCAGCUUCGCUCAUGCAGGCUGCACUGGGCUUCCCUACCCUCGUUCUGCAGAGUCCAAAGCGACACCCAAAGCUCUGGUUCCCCCAUACACACACCAGUCUCAAAAUCUGGGAGGUGAGACUCAAACUGUCCCUGCCUCCCUCCACCCCUGCCAGUAAGCAACAGCAGCGCCUGGCAGAGAGGGAGGGAGGCGGGUUAUGCCCUCCCAGAGCUGCUGUGUGCGGGCAGAGGGGGCACCGGAGGAGGACAGGCAAGUGACACAGGCGCCUCUGGAUUUGGGGAGCCAGAGAAGGCUCCUGAGCUGGGCCCUAACGGAGCGGCUGACCGGGCGAGGCGGCCUCGGGAACAUCCGCCGGGCACUGUUCUCUCGGGAUUAGGUGCCACCCAACGCUUUGGAGCGGGACCGGAGUGGUAGAUGCCAAGGAAACUGGCAGAGCAGGAACGGUUCCAGAAGCCCAUCUCACGAGCUGGGGGAGAAGGGGCCACUGAGUCAGUGAUGGCUGGGGGGAUCGCUCGGGAUGGGAGACGUGCGCUGAAAGCAGAUAAAGGACCAAACGUGAUGACCUCUCGGUGUCUGUAUUGCAAACCACAAUGCCCCAAAGUAGAGAGAGAGUAUGGGGGAG
Molecule: long non-coding RNA, 2805 nt
Organism: Sorex araneus (European shrew)
Lineage: Eukaryota; Metazoa; Chordata; Mammalia; Eulipotyphla; Soricidae
Exons: 3
Source: RefSeq, a predicted model, not a curated record